Long non-coding RNA from Daucus carota subsp. sativus, 1068 nucleotides. RefSeq lists it as uncharacterized. NCBI's taxonomy places the organism in Eukaryota, Viridiplantae, Streptophyta, Magnoliopsida, Apiales, Apiaceae. The record is from RefSeq and is a predicted model, not a curated record. The transcript has 6 exons.
CCAAAUUUUUGAACAACUUUGAAAUUUUUACUCAUACUCACACGCUCAAUCUCUCUCUCAAUACCCCUGCUCGACUCUCUCUUGAAAUACCCUCUCUCGCUAAUCUAGGGCUAAUCUCUCUCAUCUCUCUGGCCACUAUUUUCUCAGUCAUGCUACCACUUUCAAUCAUUAUGGAUUUAUAUUUCUAAUCGGGGACAAUUGAAUUAAGGGUCGAGGCUUCGAUUUUUCAAUUAGGGCGUGGCUACUUCAAUCAUGCUUUGAUUCUUCAUUAAACUUCAAUUAAAGUUCAAGUACUUACAUAUAAUCCCUUAAAUUUCAUCUAAUCUCUCUAUCUCUCUUUGAUGUCAGGUGUUCUUCGUUUGGGUUUGCACUUCAAGACUUGUUUUAAGGCUUUGCUGUUAGUAAGAGACAUACAUAUAUGUUCUCUGCGGGUGAUGACAAACAAGUUAAAUGCUGGGAUCUUCAAUAAAAUAAGGUUAUCAGGUCUUACCAUGAUCACCUAAGUGGAGUUUAUUGCUUGGCUAUGCAUCCCAAUAUUGACAUUCUACUUACAGGGGUCUCAGGGAAGCUUCAGUUUCUGUUGCUAUAAAGCCAAGGUCAUGGUUUGGUAUAUAAGGGAACUGCCUUGCCCAAGUUGUAGGGGAAGAGGUUACAGUCUUAUGUACAGAAUGCGGAAUAGAAAGAUCUAGAAAAGAUUUUGUCUGGUGUGAUGGCAAGCCUAUUUCUGUUAGAGAAUCGGUGUUACAAGAAAGCGUUACAAGGGAUGGUUCUAUAUUUCUGUUAGGUCAUACUUGCGAGUAGUGCAAGGGAGAUCGUGUAAUGGAAGAGUCAAUCGAUGAACGACCAUGGGAAAAGGCACGAUCAAUGUAUAAAUAUGAGUUAGAAGGAUGGUAUAAAUCCGUAUGUUUGUUGGAUGUAAUUGUUGGUUGAAAGGUGAAUAUUAGUUGGUAAAUAUAAUUAGUUGGUGGAUAUUUAGUUGGUGGAUAUAUGUUUGUGGAUAUUGGUGAUUGAUAUUUGGUUUGUACUUGGUUGGUUGUUAUGUUGGUAAUGAAAACUUUUGUUUACCAA